UGUAGUUCCUCCAGAAACGUGUAAAAGUGGCUGGCCACCUACAGUCCUUUUAGAACAAAAAGAACCUGGUAGCCUUUAAGAUCAUCCCCCUGAAGAAUAUAAACAAAUUUACCACACGUAUCCUAGAAGUCAACAUGCACAUGGUGCUGAGCAAAUCCAACAGCCAGCCCUCAGUAGGGAGAAUAUCUAUCAGCAAUCCAAGAAUGGGGGAAGCAGAAAACUUCAGUGGGUAUAGCUUCAUGCCAACAAAUGACCCAACUGUGGCUCAAAACCAGGUGCUGAAUUUGAUUAAGACUUGCCCAAGACCUGGAGGAUCACAGGAUCCAGCCUCAACACAUGGCUUUAGCGUCAAUCAAGCAAGCUGUGGAUUUUCUUAACAACAAGAGGCACAUCUAUUCUUCUGUGGAUGAUGAUCACUUUAAAUUCACAGAUGUGGAAUAACUGGAUCUUAUUGGGUACCU
RNAcentral lists this long non-coding RNA (461 nucleotides) under Marmota monax (woodchuck). Lineage: Eukaryota; Metazoa; Chordata; Mammalia; Rodentia; Sciuridae. The record is from RNAcentral.